This 465-nucleotide ribosomal RNA is filed under the name uncultured bacterium. RNAcentral describes it as "partial 16S ribosomal RNA". It matches the Rfam family "Bacterial small subunit ribosomal RNA", at positions 28 to 507 of the family's 1533-position model. The record is from RNAcentral.
GACGAACGCUGGCGGCGUGCUUAACACAUGCAAGUCGAACGGAAAGGCCCUGCUUGCCGGGUACUCGAGUGGCGAACGGGUGAGUAACACGUGGGUGAUCUGCCCUGCACUUCGGGAUAAGCCUGGGAAACUGGGUCUAAUACCGGAUAGGAGCCAUUUUUAGUGUGAUGGUUGGAAAGUUUUUUCGGUGUAGGAUGAGCUCGCGGCCUAUCAGCUUGUUGGUGGGGUAAUGGCCUACCAAGGCGGCGACGGGUAGCCGGCCUGAGAGGGUGGACGGCCACAUUGGGACUGAGAUACGGCCCAGACUCCUACGGGAGGCAGCAGUGGGGAAUAUUGCACCAGGGGCGCAAGCCUGAUGCAGCGACGCCGCGUGGGGGAUGACGGCCUUCGGGUUGUAAACUCCUUUCGCUAGGGACGAAGCUUUUUGUGACGGUACCUAGAGAAGAAGCACCGGCUAACUACGUG